CCGCGAUUCCGGCUCUGUAAAACGACCAUGACUUCAGCUCGCCCGGCUCGUACAGUGGCGCCGGCGGUGGCUCUUUGUAGUCCUUGUCCGUCUGCGCCGAUGUGCCAAUUGGCUGCCUUUCUGAGAACUUGUUUGCUCCUAGCUUCACGUCCUCUUCUUUCCCCUCCAUUUUCUUAUUCUUCUUCUUUGCUGAGUUUUGCUUAGAAAAUGUAACAAGGGAGGUUCUCUUCUCUCACUCUAGAAUGAGAUUUCUCUCUCCUGUUAAUGGGGUUUUGUUUUCC
This 281-nucleotide long non-coding RNA is filed under the name Cucumis sativus (cucumber). RNAcentral describes it as "long non-coding RNA (CSAT_LNC001766)". Lineage: Eukaryota; Viridiplantae; Streptophyta; Magnoliopsida; Cucurbitales; Cucurbitaceae. The record is from RNAcentral.